RNAcentral lists this ribosomal RNA (119 nucleotides) under Pteropus alecto (black flying fox). The record is from RNAcentral. RNAcentral also lists the same sequence under 1 other name. Lineage: Eukaryota; Metazoa; Chordata; Mammalia; Chiroptera; Pteropodidae.
GUCUAUGGCCAUGAUAUCCAGAACAAGCCCGAUCCUGCCUGAUCUCAGAAGCUAAGCAGGGUUAGGCCUGGUUAGUACUUAGGUGGGAGACCACCUAGGAAGAUCAGGUGCUAUAGGUG